RNAcentral lists this unclassified non-coding RNA (252 nucleotides) under Hevea brasiliensis (rubber tree). Lineage: Eukaryota; Viridiplantae; Streptophyta; Magnoliopsida; Malpighiales; Euphorbiaceae. The record is from RNAcentral.
GGCGGCGUCAGCGAGGAGAGGGUUGGAAGGGCCGCCGACACGGACGGGAUCGUGAUCUCCGGACUCGUUGGCGAAGGUACGCCACUCGGAAGUCUCGUCGAUGGAGUGAGACUCGAGGACGAGGCCGCAGUCGGAGCAGACGGUGUCGCCGGCGGCGUGGUCGAAGACGACCUCGGUGUUGCGCUUGCAGUCGGAGCAGUAGGCGUCGCCCAUGGCUGGGAUUGGAAUUAGAUCGGGGGUGGAAGGGUGGGA